This 562-nucleotide ribosomal RNA is filed under the name Wickerhamiella pararugosa. RNAcentral describes it as "partial large subunit ribosomal RNA". It matches the Rfam family "Eukaryotic large subunit ribosomal RNA", at positions 52 to 657 of the family's 3401-position model. Lineage: Eukaryota; Fungi; Ascomycota; Dipodascomycetes; Dipodascales; Trichomonascaceae. The record is from RNAcentral.
GGAGGAAAAGAAACCAACAGGGAUUCCCUUAGUAACGGCGAGUGAACCGGGAAAAGCUCAAAUUUGAAAUCUGCCAACAGGCCGAGUUGUAAUUUGUAGAUGGCUACACUGCAUAAUAGUAGAUGCUCAAGUUCUUUGGAAAAAGACAUCAUGGAGGGUGACAAUCCCGUGAGGCAUGUUACUAGGAGCAUAUAGUGGGCUUUCUAAGAGUCGAGUUGUUUGGGAAUGCAGCUCAAAGUGCGUGGUGAAUACCAUGUAAAGCUAAAUAUGGACGAGAGACCGAUAGCGAACAAGUACUGUGAAGGAAAGAUGAAAAGCACUCCGAAAGGAGAGUGAAAUAGUACGUGAAAUUGUUAAAGUGGAAGGGCUUGAGAUCAGAAUUGGUAGUUUGGGUUCCACGUCCUCUUGGGGGCGUGUACUCCCUUUCCACCGGGCCAGCGGGAGUUUCGUCUCUUGGGUAAAAGCAGUGGAAUGUAGCAGCUUGUCUGUAUUAUAGCCUCUGUUCAUACAAGACGUCGAGACUUGAUUUGUUGGCGUAAUGAUCUCUAGCCACCCGUCUUGA